Ananas comosus (pineapple) is the source of this 676-nucleotide long non-coding RNA. RefSeq lists it as uncharacterized. The transcript is spliced from 5 exons. Lineage: Eukaryota; Viridiplantae; Streptophyta; Magnoliopsida; Poales; Bromeliaceae. The record is from RefSeq and is a predicted model, not a curated record.
AUAUGGAUUUGGUGUUGACAGCUUGAGAGAUUGGUGUUGUUGGUGCAGCCGAAAUGCAAAGGUGGAUCAUUUGAUGCAGUGAAUGAGUUAAUUCAGCAUCCAGUUGAGAUUGGAGCUGAAAUGGUUAGAGUUAUUGAGUAGUAAGUCCAGUUGAGAAGAGAACCUUAAAGAAGUCCCAAUUUCUGGAAUGGUGAUUAAUGGAGAAUUACUCCUGGACUGCAACAAAAGGACCAACUGGAAGCUUCAGCUGAAGAAAUCUGAAACCUAAGGAAACUAAGUGUAAACUAGAGGAGAGAAAGGACUCGGAGCAUUGAGUUGUUGCUGCAGGACAGCAAGAAAGAUCCUUGGAUCUGAGAUUAAUUCGAGGAAGCUUAAUCACAGGUCGACGACGCGCUGAUUACGGUAGAGACCGUUCUAGUGCUAGUUGCACUGAGUCGCGAGAGAUAGUUGUCGACGCAUUCCGAGACAUUGAUCUUAGUUGAUUGACACCACUUCAGAGCCUUCCGCAACGGGGAGGCAACGACUAGCUAGAGCCCCGCGAUGUGUGAUAGAUGAGCCCACAGAUUAUAUAUUUGACUUAGUUCAGUGGAAUCUAUUGUACUCUAUUUGAGAUUACGCGGAUUUUGUUGUACUCUUGAUUGGGUUAUUGUAAUCUCGAGAUUUUUUUUUUGUUACA